GUCCCCGUAGCUCAGCUGGAUAGAGCGUUUGGCUACGAACCAAAAGGUCGGGGGUUCGACUCCCUCCGGGGAUACCA
This 77-nucleotide transfer RNA is filed under the name Chloroflexota bacterium. RNAcentral's name for it is "tRNA-Arg". It matches the Rfam family "tRNA". From Rfam's summary of the family: Transfer RNA (tRNA) molecules are approximately 80 nucleotides in length. Their secondary structure includes four short double-helical elements and three loops (D, anti-codon, and T loops). The record is from RNAcentral. Lineage: Bacteria; Bacillati; Chloroflexota.